AUUCACAGUAAAACUGCUAUUAAUUGCAUUUGCACUAUUGGUUACACACUUACUCAAUCCUUGCAUAAAUGUUCGAAAAAGAGUAUUUGUGAAUAUAUUGCUUCCCGUGGGACUAAAAUUAGACACAGACUGUCUGAAAGGAUGAAGCAGGGUAUUAUUUAUUAAUUAGUGCAAAAAAUAUCUUCCCAGCUGAAUAUUUCAGAAUGGCUUAACUAUGAAGGUGAUCUAUUAUACAUCUCUCUGAACAAAAGAGCAUAAUUGUAGGCAUGUAACAGGAUGAUUUUCUCCAUAAUCCAGACAGAUCUACAGUCAAGGAUAAUUAUUCCCAUACAGUCUAAAAUGUGAUUUAUAUUUAAAUGGUGAUUUAUAUUAACAUUAACUAUAUUUUGUUUUAUUUAAAUACAGUUCUGCAUUUAAAUUGCUGUAAGAUAUUAUUCCUUGAAUAAUAAGUUAUAAAAACUGCAUGUGUAAUUAUACAGAAAUAAAAAAGUUAAGUAUAAUAUGUAAUACUCCAGGACACUAAUUAGAAUUAGAUUAUGAUCAUUUCAAAUAACACUACAACAGCUACCCUAAUGUCUCAAAAUACUAGUGUCACACGGACAGAAUUGUAGCGCGCACAAGCGGAAGGACGAAUUAUAAACAUUGUUGCUCGCACGUGUAACGACGCGGACCAAUCAAAUUCACCAGAACGGAAUCAACAACAAAGCGCCUGGGAAAACUGUCCUGAACUCACGCGGAGCGCUCGUUCAUGACAGCGGCGUUAAUAAUAAUGAUUCAUCCGGGCUACUGACACAUUACUCCAGUAUAUCAGGUCCUGGUAGUUUUACAGGAGAGGACAGUGCAGAGUUUCACAUUCACGGGGUCCUGCUGUCAUUAGUGGGGUCUUACAAGCACCUGGUGUGUGGGAGAGAGAUCAGCCAUUAUUGGAGUUUGCUGGGUCUGCGGCCUGCAGAAGCGGGUGGGUUUACCCGACGGGUGUUCAAUGCUGGAAAAUUAGACCUUACUGAAAUAAAGGGUCUAGGUUAAUGGAUCCAUGCAGAGACAGAAGCACAGAGGCGACAGGCUCUCCAUCAAAUGGCAGGAGACCUGGGCUGCAUUUACCAAGACUGGAGUGUUCAGCUUAAAUGAAUGAGUAAAGGGUUGAUCAGGAAUAUCUCUUGUUUUUAGUACAUCUUUAUGGCCAGGUCUAAGAGCAGUCGUGGGCUAGUGGUUAGAGAGUUUGACUCCUAAUCCUAAGGUUGUGGGUUUGAGUCUCGGGCCGGUGAUACCACGACUGAGGUGCCCUUGAGCAAGGCACCGAACCCGCAACUGCUCCCCAGGUGCCCCAGCAUAAAUGGCUGCCCACUGCUCCGGGUGUGUGUUCACGGUGUGUGGGUGUUCACUGCUGUGUGUGUGCACUUUGGAUGGGUUAAAUGCAGAGCACGAAUUCUCAGUAUGGGUCACCAUACUUGGCUGUAUGUCAUGUCACUUUGUUUUUGUCAUCUGACCAACAUAUUAACAUUGUUUUCCACUUGCUGCUUUUGUGUUCCAAAAAUAUUGCAUCAACAACCUAAAUUGCUUUAACAUAUUUAUCAGUAAAGGGCACAGGAAAUUCCAGACAGAAGCUAUAUACAUGCAUAUUGUGGGAACUGUUAAGUGGUGUAUGUGUUUGACUCCCAUCCAUUAGGAAAUCAUCAGUGCUGCAAACAAAAAACUUGUGCGUUUAGUGAGCAGAACACUUAGGAUCGCUCCAGAGGAACCAUCCCUGCAGCACUGUAUUAUGUUUGUUACUUUUUUUUUUUUUAGUUCACUACUGUAUUGUUUUUUAAAGAAUUCAACUUUAAUUCAACAAGUAUGCAUUCAAAUAUAAAGUUCUGUCAUGAAACUCUAGAUAAUUGAUGAUAAUUCAAUCUGAUGUAAUCACAUCAUCAUUCACACGGCACAGCUGAUUGGUUUCGUUCACAUCAGCAGCCAAUGAGCUUGCUGCUCUACAUUCAAAUACUUGGCUAGUGCUUGCUGUAGCAGUUGCAGCGUGCUUCAGAAACCUCCACCAUCCCCAGCUCCACCUGUAUAGAUCUGUUUGGGGAUAAUUUCAUGUAUGUCACAUAUAAGUGGUUAUUUCAUAUAUGUUAGAUGUGAUAUGUGAUCCUGGACCACAAAAGAUUUUCAAAUAGUUGUAUCUCGGCCAAAUGUUGUCCUAUCCUGAUGUACAAAUCUCGAUUUUGAAAAAUACCCCUAUGACUGGUUUUGUGGUCCAGGGUCACAUAUAUAUUGGAGGGCCAAAUAUGAAAAUUGAUUUUUAGGCAUCGAAACAAUAAAGGUUUAAUAAAGCUUAAAAUUAUUUUUAUU
This is a long non-coding RNA of Cyprinus carpio (common carp), 2328 nucleotides long. NCBI's taxonomy places the organism in Eukaryota, Metazoa, Chordata, Actinopteri, Cypriniformes, Cyprinidae. The record is from Ensembl.